Molecule: long non-coding RNA, 575 nt
Organism: Benincasa hispida (wax gourd)
Lineage: Eukaryota; Viridiplantae; Streptophyta; Magnoliopsida; Cucurbitales; Cucurbitaceae
Source: RefSeq, a predicted model, not a curated record
UCACUCUCUGCAUUUGCUGCGAUUGUUGCGCUUCCCAGCUCUGUUUCGGCGUCGUCAUCCUCAAUCUCUCUCACAAAUGAUGAUUAUUCUCUUUCUCCGUUAGGUGGCCAAACCCUAGGCGCCGCAAUGGCUUUAAAGGUGUCAUGGCACGGAAGCGUGGUUAUGCCUUUGAUUCAAAAUCUUUCCCGUGUAGCGUCAAAUUACACUUGACCAGCCUACUAGUUUGGAUCCAGAUUUUUCCCAACAUCUACCUACGUACAUACACUCUAGAAGGGGUUGUGCCUAGCUCACAUAUGAAAGAAUGGUGGAGAAGAAGCACGCUCUGUGGAAAUAACACUUUUAUUUAAUAAAGGUUAUGAAAAUCACAUACAAAGGACACUAUUAGUAAGACCAACUCUUUGAAGAGUUUACAAGUGGAAAGAAUUCACUGUUGAGCCCUCAAAUGCCAAAGUGAAUGUUGUGUGUGUACAUUUGAGAGCUCCAGAGUGAAUUCUCAAAUCCUCUUGCAAGCUUCAAAAUCAACAUAAUUCAACAACUAUAUCAUCAAAAUCAAUGGAUAGCAGUUUGAUUUUGUA